Molecule: ribosomal RNA, 270 nt
Filed under: uncultured bacterium
Lineage: Bacteria
Description: partial 16S ribosomal RNA
Rfam family: Bacterial small subunit ribosomal RNA
Source: RNAcentral
GUCCUAGCCGUAAACGAUGGGCACUAAGUAGAGGGGUUUUGAUUAUCCCUCUGCCGGAGCUAACGCAUUAAGUGCCCCGCCUGGGGAGUACGGCCGCAAGGCUAAAACUCAAAAGAAUUGACGGGGGCUCGCACAAGCGGUGGAGCAUGUGGCUUAAUUCGAUGCAACGCGAAGAACCUUACCGGGGUUUGACAUGGUAGAAGUAGGAGCCCGAAAGGGUAACGAACGGUAUCCAGUCCGUAGCUAUCACAGGUGUUGCAUGGCUGUCGU